UACGAAGGGGGCUAGCGUUGCUCGGAAUCACUGGGCGUAAAGCGCACGUAGGCGGGUCCUUAAGUCAGGGGUGAAAUCCCGAGGCUCAACCUCGGAACUGCCUUCGAUACUGGCGAUCUUCGAGUCCGGGAGAGGUGAGUGGAACUCCGAGUGUAGAGGUGAAAUUCGUAGAUAUUCGGAAGAACACCAGUGGCGAAGGCGGCUCACUGGCCCGGUACUGACGCUGAGAUACGAAAGCGUGGGGAGCAAACAGG
This 254-nucleotide ribosomal RNA is filed under the name uncultured bacterium. RNAcentral's name for it is "partial 16S ribosomal RNA". It matches the Rfam family "Bacterial small subunit ribosomal RNA", at positions 524 to 776 of the family's 1533-position model. The record is from RNAcentral.